AGCACUAUACUUUAAAUAAAAGGUUAGAUUUGCAUUCUGAAAAUGGGUAGUAUUGCCCUAGUGCUG
RNAcentral lists this transfer RNA (66 nucleotides) under Donax variegatus. Its description in RNAcentral is "tRNA-Ala". The record is from RNAcentral. Lineage: Eukaryota; Metazoa; Mollusca; Bivalvia; Cardiida; Donacidae.